UGAUCCUACGGGACGCAGCAGUGAGGAAUAUUGGUCAAUGGCCGCAGGGCUGAACCAGCCAAGUCGCGUGAGGGAUGACGGUCCUAUGGAUUGUAAACCUCUUUUGUCAGGGAGCAAAGUCACCCACGUGUGGGUGUUGGAGAGUACCUGAAGAAAAAGCAUCGGCUAACUCCGUGCCAGCAGCCGCGGUAAUACGGAGGAUGCGAGCGUUAUCCGGAUUUAUUGGGUUUAAAGGGUGCGUAGGCGGGUUAUCAAGUCAGCGGUAAAAUCGUGGAGCUCAACUCCAUCCAGCCGUUGAAACUGAU
RNAcentral lists this ribosomal RNA (305 nucleotides) under uncultured bacterium. RNAcentral describes it as "bacterial SSU rRNA". It matches the Rfam family "Bacterial small subunit ribosomal RNA", at positions 334 to 637 of the family's 1533-position model. The record is from RNAcentral.